RNAcentral lists this ribosomal RNA (219 nucleotides) under Meleagris gallopavo (turkey). Its description in RNAcentral is "partial large subunit ribosomal RNA". It matches the Rfam family "Archaeal large subunit ribosomal RNA", at positions 1926 to 2175 of the family's 2987-position model. Lineage: Eukaryota; Metazoa; Chordata; Aves; Galliformes; Phasianidae. The record is from RNAcentral.
CAAGCUACAGUAUUGAGGUGACGCCUGCCCAGUGACCCCCAACGUUCAACGGCCGCGGUAUCCUAACCGUGCGAAGGUAGCGCAAUCAAUUGUCCCGUAAAUUGAGACUUGUAUGAAUGGCUAAACGAGGUCUUAACUGUCUCCUGUAGAUAAUCUAUGAAAUUAGUAUUCUCGUGCAAAAACGAGAAUGUGAACAUAAGACGAGAAGACCCUAUGGAG